RNAcentral lists this ribosomal RNA (253 nucleotides) under uncultured bacterium. RNAcentral describes it as "partial 16S ribosomal RNA". It matches the Rfam family "Bacterial small subunit ribosomal RNA", at positions 524 to 776 of the family's 1533-position model. The record is from RNAcentral.
UACGAAGGACCCAAGCGUUAUCCGGAUUUAUUGGGUUUAAAGGGUGCGUAGGCGGCUUAUUAAGUCAGUGGUGAAAUCCUGAAGCUCAACUUCAGAAUUGCCAUUGAUACUGAUGAGCUUGAGUAUAGUUGAGGUGGGCGGAAUGUGUCAUGUAGCGGUGAAAUGCUUAGAUAUGACACAGAACACCGAUUGCGAAGGCAGCUCACUAAGCUAUAACUGACGCUGAUGCACGAAAGCGUGGGGAGCAAACAGG